Non-coding RNA from Taxawa tesnikishii (nom. ined.), 92 nucleotides. The record is from the annotation of a GenBank genome assembly. Lineage: Eukaryota; Fungi; Ascomycota; Dothideomycetes; Dothideales.
GGUGCUGUAGUCCAGCCGGUAGGACAUCCGCUGCUCGCCAGUUCUGGUUGGAGCUUCUUGCGGGGAUGCAGUCUUCGAUCCUGCCGGCGCCA